RNAcentral lists this ribosomal RNA (490 nucleotides) under uncultured bacterium. Its description in RNAcentral is "partial 16S ribosomal RNA". It matches the Rfam family "Bacterial small subunit ribosomal RNA", at positions 30 to 507 of the family's 1533-position model. The record is from RNAcentral.
AUUGAACGCUGGCGGCAGGCCUAACACAUGCAAGUCGAACGGUAACAGAAAGCAGCUUGCUGCUUUGCUGACGAGUGGCGGACGGGUGAGUAAUGUCUGGGAAACUGCCUGAUGGAGGGGGAUAACUACUGGAAACGGUAGCUAAUACCGCAUAACGUCGCAAGACCAAAGAGGGGGACCUUCGGGCCUCUUGCCGUCGGAUGUGCCCAGAUGGGAUUAGCUAGUAGGUGGGGUAACGGCUCACCUAGGCGACGAUCCCUAGCUGGUCUGAGAGGAUGACCAGCCACACUGGAACUGAGACACGGUCCAGACUCCUACGGGAGGCAGCAGUGGGGAAUAUUGCACAAUGGGCGCAAGCCUGAUGCAGCCAUGCCGCGUGUAUGAAGAAGGCCUUCGGGUUGUAAAGUACUUUCAGCGGGGAGGAAGGGAGUAAAGUUAAUACCUUUGCUCAUUGACGUUACCCGCAGAAGAAGCACCGGCUAACUCCGUA